This 452-nucleotide ribosomal RNA is filed under the name uncultured bacterium. Its description in RNAcentral is "bacterial SSU rRNA". It matches the Rfam family "Bacterial small subunit ribosomal RNA", at positions 29 to 524 of the family's 1533-position model. The record is from RNAcentral.
AACGAACGCUGGCGGCAUGCCUAACACAUGCAAGUCGAACGAGACCUUCGGGUCUAGUGGCGCACGGGUGCGUAACGCGUGGGAAUCUGCCCUUGGGUUCGGAAUAACAGUUAGAAAUGGCUGCUAAUACCGGAUAAUGUCUUCGGACCAAAGAUUUAUCGCCCAGGGAUGAGCCCGCGUAGGAUUAGCUAGUUGGUGAGGUAAAGGCUCACCAAGGCGACGAUCCUUAGCUGGUCUGAGAGGAUGAUCAGCCACACUGGGACUGAGACACGGCCCAGACUCCUACGGGAGGCAGCAGUGGGGAAUAUUGGGACAAUGGGCGAAAGCCUGAUCCAGCAAUGCCGCGUGAGUGAUGAAGGCCUUAGGGUUGUAAAGCUCUUUUACCCGGGAUGAUAAUGACAGUACCGGGAGAAUAAGCCCCCGGCUAACUCCGUGCCAGCAGCCGCGGUAAU